ACAGCCCAGCGCAUAAUCUCCCGGGCUACCAAGCCCGCGGCRAAAUGUUGCGUAAAGGGAAAGGUCGGUACAAAGCCCUGCACAGCGUGUUUGUCCUAAAUACGAUUUGAAUAUUCGCGGUGAUUUAACGAUUACCUCGGUUCCACAGAGGGUGACAGACCCGUGUGGACCACGUGAAUAUGUGCGUGGGUUCGGCUUAUAUUCCCUGAGAGUCGCGUUGCUUGAGCUUGCAGCGCUAAUCCGGUCGUARACUCGACCUAAGGCUAAAUAUAUCCACAGAACCGAUAGUAAACAAGUACCGUGAGGGAAAGUUGAAAAGCACUCUGAAGAGAGAGUUAAAAGACCGUGAAACCGCUUAGAGUAUAAGCCAAUGGUAUUCGGAAGGCUGGGAUUGCCAGACUGAAUUAUCAUGUUAUCGGUAUCGUAUGCAAUGCAUCGUAGUUGACGAGAAGGGACUUGAGUGGACUACCACCUAUUAACUUGCGGGUCAUGUUGAUGAGGAAGGAGUAUUUAUGAGUACACCUUCUAUCGUGACUUUUGCAAGCGGUCAAUGAGUUGCAAUACGAGUAAUCCUAAAACAGCCCACCACAACUCUUUAUGAGGUCACCCACAUGCGCACGCGUAUGUUGUCUUCGGGCGAGCACUUGGUUUCGGUUAGCUUUUGCCGGCCGUUGAUUUCACGUGUGUCCAACAUGUGUUUGGUGAUCCUCUGUGAAGGUUGCGUUUCUGACCAUCCUCUAACUGACAAAUCGUUGCGUUGGGCUCGAUACCUGCCGGCUAAGUGGGUUCCCGCAAGGUUAGAGGAUGAUUUGGUGUCUAAUUCCGGGGCCAUUGGUCACGUCUCGAAACACGGGCCAAGGAGCAUAGCAUGUGUGCAAGUCCAAGGGUCUCACAAAACCCGAAGGCGAAGUGAAAGCAAGUGGUGUGUCCGUGUCUUCGGACGCGGGCAGCUCGAUGAUGUGCGCAAUUCCUGCGAGCGGAUGAAUGCGUGAUCCGGCUCAAAACCGGGUUGAUCCGACGCAAUCAAGACAUUUGUCGAUGCGUUGGCGCAAACCCCAGGCUCUCAGUAUAGCAUGUUACGUGUUUGGGAGCACUGUGUAGCUKGCAUGCUAUGACCCGAAAGAUGGUGAACUAUGCUUGGCGA
RNAcentral lists this ribosomal RNA (1144 nucleotides) under Atylopsis sp. MLV-2016. Its description in RNAcentral is "eukaryotic LSU rRNA". It matches the Rfam family "Eukaryotic large subunit ribosomal RNA", at positions 104 to 843 of the family's 3401-position model. The record is from RNAcentral. Lineage: Eukaryota; Metazoa; Arthropoda; Malacostraca; Amphipoda; Pleustidae.